This 1083-nucleotide long non-coding RNA is filed under the name Nasonia vitripennis (jewel wasp). Its description in RNAcentral is "uncharacterized LOC103315625". Lineage: Eukaryota; Metazoa; Arthropoda; Insecta; Hymenoptera; Pteromalidae. The record is from RNAcentral.
CAUGUGUCAAUACAACUACCUAAUAAUUAAAUAAUUUAAUUGUAAUCGUUUUCAAAAGUUUGAAUAGUACGUUUGAAUUCGCGCCGCGCGAUACGUGCACUAUAUAUGUGAUUUUCCGUUGUCUCUGUCAUUGUACUAUAGUUAAUUAAGCGGGAAACGCAACAAAGUAUAUUACUUUUUGCUUUGAUGAUUUCCCUCGUUAACAGCAAAAAACUUCGUUCGCUGAAUAAUCGUUGAAUAUCAACAAUUGUUUCUGCAAACUUGGAUAAUCACUUGUGUUAUUGCUUAAUCAACUCAAUUAGACCCGGAUAGUCGAAGAAUCUUGCCGCAUUUCCUAAGGAAGCUGUUGAUCGUCGACCCUCGCUUGCGUCCAUCUCCAGCUAGAGAGGGGCUGCUCAACAGGUCCUGGAAGCCUCGUCUUCUUCGACUGCACCUGGACAUUGAGUUUGUCAGGCAGCUUACACUACAUAUAUUUUCUGUUUCAUACACUCCAUCCUGCAACUUGAUUACUUUUCUUUCAUUAUUUCUCAUUACAACAAUAGUUCAUAUAGACUUUACUCAUUCUUUCUUAUACUUUCUAUUUUCGAGCCUAAUAUUGUCAACCACACCAUCGUCUGGACCAUCUACCACACCACAGCACCUGCGGUUCCUAGAAUAUUAUAUAAAGUUAGCUGAAAAAAAACCACAGACAACAACAGCCACUCAGCGGAAGAUAAGAAUUGCAGCUUGCUUCUGAGGUACUUCGACAGGUUCAGCUCACCGUACUCACCAAUAUAGUUGGAAUAGCAAAAACACCAUCAGAAGCGCAGCCAGGAAUAUGCGUCAAAAUUAGGAUUAUCUUUAUAGAUAAGUAUAUUAUCUAGCGUUUAUAAUUUAUUCAAUUACAAAUUUAAAUCUGUUUUAUAUUUAUUUGCAGCGGCAGCAGCAAAGUCAACAAUAAUAACAAGGAAGUGUGCCGAUUGUUCUCCUCGCCUCCAGGAGUCGUCCAAUUUUCAACUGCUUUAUUAUUAUUUAAUAUUGUUCGUUUAUUAAUAUUAUUAUUAUUCUUGUUAUCAUUAUAUUAGAUUGAUCAAAGCUCAAAAA